Long non-coding RNA from Eriocheir sinensis (Chinese mitten crab), 497 nucleotides. RefSeq lists it as uncharacterized. The record is from RefSeq and is a predicted model, not a curated record. NCBI's taxonomy places the organism in Eukaryota, Metazoa, Arthropoda, Malacostraca, Decapoda, Varunidae. The transcript has 3 exons.
GUUAUUAGUCAAGGCUUUGGUGGAGGUUGUGUUAGUAUGUCCAUGGGUAGUGUUAUGAGCCUGGUGAUAGUUUGACAAGGCUUUGGUGGAGGUUGUGUUAGUAUGUCCAUGGGUAGUGUUAUGAGCCUGGUGAUAGUUUGACAAGGCUUUGGUGGAGGUUGUGUUAGUAUGUCCAUGGGUAGUGUUAUGAGCCUGGUGAUAGUUUGACAAGGCUUUGGUGGAGGUUGUGUUAGUAUGUCCAUGGGUAGUGUUAUGAGCCUGGUGAUAGUUUGACAAGGCUUUGGUGGAGGUUGUGUUAGUAUGUCCAUGGGUAGUGUUAUGACCCUAGUGAUAGUUUGACAAGGCUUUGGUAGGGGCUGUGUUAGUAUGUCCGUGGGUAGUGUUAUGACCCUAGUGAUAGUUUGACAAGGCUUUGGUAGGGGCUGUGUUAGUAUGUCCAUGGGUAGUGUUAUGACCCUAGUGAUAGUUUGACAAGGCUUUGGUGGAGGUUGUGUUAG